Molecule: ribosomal RNA, 891 nt
Filed under: Triticum aestivum (bread wheat)
Lineage: Eukaryota; Viridiplantae; Streptophyta; Magnoliopsida; Poales; Poaceae
Description: partial small subunit ribosomal RNA
Source: RNAcentral
AUGAGGAGGUACAGCCCCCCACACCGUAGUCCCCCGAGGAGGGGAUAUGGCGGCAGCCCCGCUCAUCGUAGUCCCCCAAGGAGGGGAUAUGGUGGCAGCCCCCCGCACCGCAGCCCCCCAAGGAGGGGAUAUGGUGGCAGAGGAAGAAGUCCCCCUAGGAGGGGUGGAUAUGGAGGACGGAAGGAGCAGGGUUCUGGAAGUCUCUUGGUUCGCAACAUCCCAUUAAGCGCCAGAGCGGAGGAUCUCCGUGUUCCUUUUGAAAGGUUUGGUCCUGUCAGGGAUGUUUACCUUCCGAAGGAUUAUUAUAGCGGGGAGCCACGAGGGUUUGCGUUUGUGGAGUUUGUUGACCCUUAUGACGCCUCUGAGGCCCAAUACCACAUGAAUCGCCAGGUUUUUUUUGGCCGGGAGAUAACUGUUGUGCUUGCUGCUGAGUCACGGAAAAGGCCAGAGGAUAUGCGCACUAGAACCAGAGUCAGGGGGUAUUCUGGAGGUCAUGAAGGGCGCCGUUCCUCUCAUUAUGGGAGGUCUCGUUCCCGUUCACGCUCCGCCUCUCCCCGCCCCCGUGGCGGUGGCCGUGCUCGGUCAAGGUCAUACUCUCCUGCUCCAAGACGGCGAGAUGACUACUCUGCUUCCCCACGGGGAAGGGAGUCUCAUCGCACUAAAUCUCCUGUGCGUCAUCCAAAAGAACAUGAAGAGGACAAAAGGAGAUCCUACUCUCCCCCUGGUAGAGAUGGUGACCAACGUGAUGCUGAUAACGGGUAUGAGAAGAGGUCGCCACCGGCCGACAGUGAUGGAUCCCCUUCACGCCCGAGGGUGGCCAGGCCAUCCUCAGGAUCGCCCCCCGGAUCCCGCUCCAGGUCCCCCGACGCUUCUCCCGCCCGCAGCGACUGA